This 497-nucleotide ribosomal RNA is filed under the name uncultured bacterium. RNAcentral's name for it is "partial 16S ribosomal RNA". It matches the Rfam family "Bacterial small subunit ribosomal RNA", at positions 28 to 507 of the family's 1533-position model. The record is from RNAcentral.
GAUGAACUCUGGCGGCGUGCCUAAUACAUGCAAGUCGAGCGAACGGACGAGAAGCUUGCUUCUCUGAUGUUAGCGGCGGACGGGUGAGUAACACGUGGAUAACCUACCUAUAAGACUGGUAUAACUUCGGGAAACCGGAGCUAAUACCGGAUGAUAUUUUGAACCGCAUGGUUCAAAAGUGAAAGACGGUCUUGCUGUCACUUAUAGAUGGAUCCGCGCUGCAUUAGCUAGUUGGUAAGGUAACGGCUUACCAAGGCAACGAUGCAUAGCCGACCUGAGAGGGUGAUCGGCCACACUGGAACUGAGACACGGUCCAGACUCCUACGGGAGGCAGCAGUAGGGAAUCUUCCGCAAUGGGCGAAAGCCUGACGGAGCAACGCCGCGUGAGUGAUGAAGGUCUUCGGAUCGUAAAACUCUGUUAUUAGGGAGGAACAUAUGUGUAAGUAACUGUGCACAUCUUGACGGUACCUAAUCAGAAAGCCACGGCUAACUACGUG